Molecule: ribosomal RNA, 1369 nt
Filed under: uncultured bacterium
Lineage: Bacteria
Description: bacterial SSU rRNA
Rfam family: Bacterial small subunit ribosomal RNA
Source: RNAcentral
GACGAACGUUGGCGGCGUGCCUAAUACAUGCAAGUAGAACGCUGAAGAGAGGAGCUUGCUCUUCUUGGAUGAGUUGCGAACGGGUGAGUAACGCGUAGGUAACCUGCCUUGUAGCGGGGGAUAACUAUUGGAAACGAUAGCUAAUACCGCAUAACAAUGGAUGACACAUGUCAUUUAUUUGAAAGGGGCAAUUGCUCCACUACAAGAUGGACCUGCGUUGUAUUAGCUAGUAGGUGAGGUAAUGGCUCACCUAGGCGACGAUACAUAGCCGACCUGAGAGGGUGAUCGGCCACACUGGGACUGAGACACGGCCCAGACUCCUACGGGAGGCAGCAGUAGGGAAUCUUCGGCAAUGGGGGCAACCCUGACCGAGCAACGCCGCGUGAGUGAAGAAGGUUUUCGGAUCGUAAAGCUCUGUUGUAAGUCAAGAACGGGUGUGAGAGUGGAAAGUUCACACUGUGACGGUAGCUUACCAGAAAGGGACGGCUAACUACGUGCCAGCAGCCGCGGUAAUACGUAGGUCCCGAGCGUUGUCCGGAUUUAUUGGGCGUAAAGCGAGCGCAGGCGGUUUGAUAAGUCUGAAGUUAAAGGCUGUGGCUCAACCAUAGUUCGCUUUGGAAACUGUCAAACUUGAGUGCAGAAGGGGAGAGUGGAAUUCCAUGUGUAGCGGUGAAAUGCGUAGAUAUAUGGAGGAACACCGGUGGCGAAAGCGGCUCUCUGGUCUGUAACUGACGCUGAGGCUCGAAAGCGUGGGGAGCGAACAGGAUUAGAUACCCUGGUAGUCCACGCCGUAAACGAUGAGUGCUAGGUGUUGGAUCCUUUCCGGGAUUCAGUGCCGCAGCUAACGCAUUAAGCACUCCGCCUGGGGAGUACGACCGCAAGGUUGAAACUCAAAGGAAUUGACGGGGGCCCGCACAAGCGGUGGAGCAUGUGGUUUAAUUCGAAGCAACGCGAAGAACCUUACCAGGUCUUGACAUCCCGAUGCUAUUUCUAGAGAUAGAAAGUUACUUCGGUACAUCGGUGACAGGUGGUGCAUGGUUGUCGUCAGCUCGUGUCGUGAGAUGUUGUGUUAAGUCCCGCAACGAGCGCAACCCCUAUUGUUAGUUGCCAUCAUUCAGUUGGGCACUCUAGCGAGACUGCCGGUAAUAAACCGGAGGAAGGUGGGGAUGACGUCAAAUCAUCAUGCCCCUUAUGACCUGGGCUACACACGUGCUACAAUGGUUGGUACAACGAGUUGCGAGUCGGUGACGGCGAGCUAAUCUCUUAAAGCCAAUCUCAGUUCGGAUUGUAGGCUGCAACUCGCCUACAUGAAGUCGGAAUCGCUAGUAACCGCGGAUCAGCACGCCGCGGUGAAUACGUUCCCGGGCCU